GGAAGUGGUAGCUCAGUGGUUAAGACGUUGGACUACUGCUCAAAUGUUUGUGAGUUCAAAUCCCAGCACUGACA
This is a non-coding RNA of Ameiurus melas (black bullhead), 74 nucleotides long. Lineage: Eukaryota; Metazoa; Chordata; Actinopteri; Siluriformes; Ictaluridae. The record is from the annotation of a GenBank genome assembly.